Pan troglodytes (chimpanzee) is the source of this 148-nucleotide non-coding RNA. It matches the Rfam family "Metazoan signal recognition particle RNA". Rfam says of the family: The signal recognition particle (SRP) is a universally conserved ribonucleoprotein. It is involved in the co-translational targeting of proteins to membranes. The eukaryotic SRP consists of a 300-nucleotide 7S RNA and six proteins: SRPs 72, 68, 54, 19, 14, and 9. The record is from Rfam. Lineage: Eukaryota; Metazoa; Chordata; Mammalia; Primates; Hominidae.
GCUGGGCGCAGUGGUGGGCGCCUGUAAUCCCAGCUACUUGGAAGGCUGAGACAGGAGAAUUGCUUGAACCCAGGAGGCAGGGGUUGCAGUGAGCUGAGAUCAUGCCACUACACCCCAGCCUGGGUGACAGAGCAAGACUCUGUCUGGG